CUACGGGGGGCUGCAGUGGGGAAUAUUGGACAAUGGGGGAAACCCUGAUCCAGCAAUGCCGCGUGUGUGAAGAAGGCCUGCGGGUUGUAAAGCACUUUCGGUUGGGAGGACUGCUUCUAGCACUAAUAUUGUUGGAAGUUGACGUUACCUUCAGAAGAAGCACCGGCUAACUCCGUGCCAGCAGCCGCGGUAAUACGGAGGGGCAAGCGUUAAUCGGAAUUACUGGGCGUAAAGCGCGCGUAGGCGGCUAGAUCAGUCGGGUGUGAAAGCCCCGGGCUUAACCUGGGAACUGCAUCCGAUACUGUCUAGCUUGAGUACAGGAGAGGGGAGUGGAAUUCCACAUGUAGCGGUGAAAUGCGUAGAUAUGUGGAGGAACACCAAUGGCGAAGGCAGCUCUCUGGCCUGAUACUGACGCUGAGGUGCGAAAGCGUGGGGAGCAAACAGGAUUAGAUACCCCUGUAGUC
RNAcentral lists this ribosomal RNA (464 nucleotides) under uncultured bacterium. RNAcentral describes it as "partial 16S ribosomal RNA". It matches the Rfam family "Bacterial small subunit ribosomal RNA", at positions 339 to 795 of the family's 1533-position model. The record is from RNAcentral.